This 197-nucleotide ribosomal RNA is filed under the name uncultured bacterium. RNAcentral's name for it is "partial 16S ribosomal RNA". It matches the Rfam family "Bacterial small subunit ribosomal RNA", at positions 30 to 230 of the family's 1533-position model. The record is from RNAcentral.
AUUGAACGCUGGCGGCAUGCCUUACACAUGCAAGUCGAACGGCAGCACGGGGGCAACCCUGGUGGCGAGUGGCGAACGGGUGAGUAAUACAUCGGAACGUGUCCUGUAGUGGGGGAUAGCCCGGCGAAAGCCGGAUUAAUACCGCAUACGAUCUACGGAAGAAAGCGGGGACGAAGGACCUCGCGCUAUAGGGCGGC